AACGAACGCUGGCGGCAUGCCUAACACAUGCCAGUCGAACGAGACCUUCGGGUCUAGUGGCGCACGGGUGCGUAACGCGUGGGAACCUGCCCUUAGGUUCGGAAUAACUCCCCUAAAGGGGUGCUAAUACCGGAUAAUGUCUUCGGACCAAAGAUUUAUCGCCUUUGGAUGGGCCCGCGUUGGAUUAGCUAGUUGGUAGGGUAAAAGCCUACCAAGGCGACGAUCCAUAGCUGGUCUGAGAGGAUGAUCAUCCACACUGGGACUGAGACACGGCCCAGACUGCUACGGGAGGCAGCAGUGGGGAAUAUUAGACAAUGGGCGAAAGCCUGAUCCAGCAAUGCCGCGUGAGUGAUGAAGGCCUUAGGGUUGUAAAGCUCUUUUACCCGGGAUGAUAAUGACAGUACCGGGAGAAUAAGCUCCGGCUAACUCCGUG
This 433-nucleotide ribosomal RNA is filed under the name uncultured bacterium. RNAcentral describes it as "partial 16S ribosomal RNA". It matches the Rfam family "Bacterial small subunit ribosomal RNA", at positions 29 to 507 of the family's 1533-position model. The record is from RNAcentral.